Molecule: ribosomal RNA, 556 nt
Filed under: Escherichia coli
Lineage: Bacteria; Pseudomonadati; Pseudomonadota; Gammaproteobacteria; Enterobacterales; Enterobacteriaceae
Description: bacterial LSU rRNA
Rfam family: Bacterial large subunit ribosomal RNA
Source: RNAcentral
GGAAAGGCGCGCGAUACAGGGUGACAGCCCCGUACACAAAAAUGCACAUGCUGUGAGCUCGAUGAGUAGGGCGGGACACGUGGUAUCCUGUCUGAAUAUGGGGGGACCAUCCUCCAAGGCUAAAUACUCCUGACUGACCGAUAGUGAACCAGUACCGUGAGGGAAAGGCGAAAAGAACCCCGGCGAGGGGAGUGAAAAAGAACCUGAAACCGUGUACGUACAAGCAGUGGGAGCACGCUUAGGCGUGUGACUGCGUACCUUUUGUAUAAUGGGUCAGCGACUUAUAUUCUGUAGCAAGGUUAACCGAAUAGGGGAGCCGAAGGGAAACCGAGUCUUAACUGGGCGUUAAGUUGCAGGGUAUAGACCCGAAACCCGGUGAUCUAGCCAUGGGCAGGUUGAAGGUUGGGUAACACUAACUGGAGGACCGAACCGACUAAUGUUGAAAAAUUAGCGGAUGACUUGUGGCUGGGGGUGAAAGGCCAAUCAAACCGGGAGAUAGCUGGUUCUCCCCGAAAGCUAUUUAGGUAGCGCCUCGUGAAUUCAUCUCCGGGGGUAG